GCGGCAACAGCUCAAAUUUGAAAGCUGGCCCCCCCGGGGGUCCGCGUUGUAAUUUGUAGAGGAUGAUUCGGCGAGGGCUCCCGCCUAAGUCCCCUGGAACGGGGCGUCAUAGAGGGUGAGAAUCCCGUAUGCGGUGGGCUGCCUUAGCCAUGUGAAUCUCCUUCGACGAGUCGAGUUGUUUGGGAAUGCAGCUCUAAAUGGGAGGUAAAUUUCUUCUAAAGCUAAAUACCGGCCAGAGACCGAUAGCGCACAAGUAGAGUGAUCGAAAGAUGAAAAGCACUUUGGAAAGAGAGUUAAAAAGUACGUGAAAUUGUUGAAAGGGAAGCGCUUGCAGCCAGACUUGUCCGCAGUUGCUCAGCCGGUCUCCUGACCGGCGCACUCUUCUGCGGCCAGGCCAGCAUCAGUUCGGGCGGUCGGAUAAAGGCCCCGGGAACGUAGCUCCUCUCGGGGAGUGUUAUAGCCCGGGGUGGAAUGCGGCCAGCCUGGACUGAGGAUCUCGCUUCGGCUAGGAUGCUGGCGUAAUGGCUGUAAGCGGCCCGUCUUGAAACACGGACCAAGGAGUCUAACAUCUAUGCGAGUGUUUGGGUGUCAAACCCAUGCGCGUAAUGAAAGUGAACGGAGGUGGGAACCCUCGCGGGUGCACCAUCGACCGAUCCUGAUGUCUUCGGAUGGAUUUGAGUAAGAGCAUAGCUGUUGGGACCCGAAAGAUGGUGAACUAUGCCUGAAUAGGGUGAAGCCAGAGGAAACUCUGGUGGAGGCUCGCAGCGGUUCUGACGUGCAAAUCGAUCGUCAAAUUUGGGUAUAGGGGCGAAAGACUAAUCGAACCAUCGACUACUAGGUGGUUAAGAGGUGGCUGAAAGUGCCCACCUAGUCCCCCCGUCCGAGGACGGGGGGGCGACAUCGCCAAAUUGCGGGGACUCCCUUAGAGCCUCUACUACCGCGGCCGGCCGAAAGGCGCGGUGCAGCACCGGGUUAAUUGCCUAGGGUACGGUAAAAAGGUAGAGGAUUGGGAAAUCCGCAGCCAAGCGCCUAAGUCCCGCGGGAUACGGCGAAGGUUCAGAGACUAGAUGGCGGUGGGUCCGGCCCGAGGGCCGGGCCUAAGGU
This 1104-nucleotide small RNA is filed under the name Neoscytalidium hyalinum. RNAcentral's name for it is "eukaryotic LSU rRNA". It matches the Rfam family "Eukaryotic large subunit ribosomal RNA", at positions 98 to 1044 of the family's 3401-position model. Lineage: Eukaryota; Fungi; Ascomycota; Dothideomycetes; Botryosphaeriales; Botryosphaeriaceae. The record is from RNAcentral.